CCUACGGGUGGCUGCAGUGAGGAAUAUUGGUCAAUGGGAGGAAUCCUGAACCAGCCAAGCCGCGUGCAGGAUGACGGCUCUACGAGUUGUAAACUGCUUUUGUACCGGGGUAAAAUGCGUUACGUGUGGGUUUUUGAAAGUACGGUAUGAAUAAGGAUCGGCUAAAUCCGUGCCAGCAGCCGCGGUAAUACGGAGGAUCCGGGCGUUAUCCGGAUUUGUUGGGUUUAAAGGGAGCGCAGGUGGUUUUUUAAGGUAGUGGUGAAAGUCCGAGGCUCAACCUUGGAACUGCAGCUAAUACUGGAGGGCUUGAGUUCGGAGGAGGUAGGCGGAAUGCGUGGUGUAGCGGUGAAAUGCUUAGAUAUCACGAAGAACUCCGAUUGCGAAGGCAGCCUAC
This 394-nucleotide ribosomal RNA is filed under the name uncultured bacterium. RNAcentral describes it as "partial 16S ribosomal RNA". It matches the Rfam family "Bacterial small subunit ribosomal RNA", at positions 338 to 729 of the family's 1533-position model. The record is from RNAcentral.